This 253-nucleotide ribosomal RNA is filed under the name uncultured bacterium. RNAcentral's name for it is "partial 16S ribosomal RNA". It matches the Rfam family "Bacterial small subunit ribosomal RNA", at positions 524 to 776 of the family's 1533-position model. The record is from RNAcentral.
UACGAAGGGUGCUAGCGUUGUUCGGAAUUAUUGGGCGUAAAGCGUGCGUAGGCGGUUUGGUAAGUCGACUGUGAAAGCCCAGAGCUUAACUUUGGAAUUGCAUUCGAAACUACUAAGCUAGAGUAUGGCGGGGGAUAGUGGAAUUCUUAGUGUAGGGGUGAAAUCCGUAGAUAUUAAGAGGAACACCAGUGGCGAAAGCGGCUAUCUACACCAUUACUGACGCUGAGGCACGAAAGCUGGGGGAGCAAACAGG